GCAGGCCUAACACAUGCAAGUCGAGCGGUAGCACAGAGAGCUUGCUCUCGGGUGACGAGCGGCGGACGGGUGAGUAAUGUCUGGGAAACUGCCUGAUGGAGGGGGAUAACUACUGGAAACGGUAGCUAAUACCGCAUAAUGUCGCAAGACCAAAGUGGGGGACCUUCGGGCCUCAUGCCAUCAGAUGUGCCCAGAUGGGAUUAGCUAGUAGGUGGGGUAACGGCUCACCUAGGCGACGAUCCCUAGCUGGUCUGAGAGGAUGACCAGCCACACUGGAACUGAGACACGGUCCAGACUCCUACGGGAGGCAGCAGUGGGGAAUAUUGCACAAUGGGCGCAAGCCUGAUGCAGCCAUGCCGCGUGUGUGAAGAAGGCCUUCGGGUUGUAAAGCACUUUCAGCGGGGAGGAAGGCGAUAAGGUUAAUAACCUCAUCGAUUGACGUUACCCGCAGAAGAAGCACCGGCUAACUCCGUGCCAGCAGCCGCGGUAAUACGGAGGGUGCAAGCGUUAAUCGGAAUUACUGGGCGUAUAGCGCACGCAGGCGGUCUGUCAAGUCAGAUGUGAAAUCCCCGGGCUCAACCCGGGAACUGCAUUCGAAACUGGCAGGCUAGAGUCUUGUAGAGGGGGGUAGAAUUCCAGGUGUAGCGGUGAAAUGCGUAGAGAUCUGGAGGAAUACCGGUGGCGAAGGCGGCCCCCUGGACAAAGACUGACGCUCAGGUGCGAAAGCGUGGGGAGCAAACAGGAUUAGAUACCCUGGUAGUCCACGCCGUAAACGAUGUCGAUUUGGAGGUUGUGCAGCUUUGAGGCGUGGCUUCCGGAGCUAACGCGUUAAAUCGACCGCCUGGGGAGUACGGCCGCAAGGUUAAAACUCAAAUGAAUUGACGGGGGCCCGCACAAGCGGUGGAGCAUGUGGUUUAAUUCGAUGCAACGCGAAGAACCUUACCUGGUCUUGACAUCCACAGAACUUAGCAGAGAUGCUUUGGUGCCUUCGAGAACUGUGAGACAGGUGCUGCAUGGCUGUCGUCAGCUCGUGUUGUGAAAUGUUGGGUUAAGUCCCGCAACGAGCGCAACCCUUAUCCUUUGUUGCCAGCGGUCAGGCCGGGAACUCAAAGGAGACUGCC
RNAcentral lists this ribosomal RNA (1121 nucleotides) under Klebsiella pneumoniae. RNAcentral describes it as "bacterial SSU rRNA". It matches the Rfam family "Bacterial small subunit ribosomal RNA", at positions 42 to 1153 of the family's 1533-position model. Lineage: Bacteria; Pseudomonadati; Pseudomonadota; Gammaproteobacteria; Enterobacterales; Enterobacteriaceae. The record is from RNAcentral.